RNAcentral lists this ribosomal RNA (433 nucleotides) under uncultured bacterium. RNAcentral describes it as "bacterial SSU rRNA". It matches the Rfam family "Bacterial small subunit ribosomal RNA", at positions 29 to 507 of the family's 1533-position model. The record is from RNAcentral.
AAUGAACGCUGGCGGCAGGCCUAACACAUGCAAGUCGAACGCACCUUUCGGGGUGAGUGGCGGACGGGUGAGUAACGCGUGGGAAUAUGCCCUUUGGUACGGAAUAGUCCUGGGAAACUGGGGGUAAUACCGUAUGUGCCCUUCGGGGGAAAGAUUUAUCGCCAAAGGAUUAGCCCGCGUUGGAUUAGGUAGUUGGUGGGGUAAUGGCCUACCAAGCCGACGAUCCAUAGCUGGUUUGAGAGGAUGAUCAGCCACACUGGGACUGAGACACGGCCCAGACUCCUACGGGAGGCAGCAGUGGGGAAUCUUAGACAAUGGGGGAAACCCUGAUCUAGCCAUGCCGCGUGAUCGAUGAAGGCCUUAGGGUUGUAAAGAUCUUUCAGAUGGGAAGAUAAUGACGGUACCAUCAGAAGAAGCCCCGGCUAACUCCGUG